RNA transcript from Pan troglodytes (chimpanzee), 5306 nucleotides. It is a transcript of the gene named metastasis associated 1, with no coding region annotated. Lineage: Eukaryota; Metazoa; Chordata; Mammalia; Primates; Hominidae. The record is from RefSeq and is a predicted model, not a curated record. The transcript is spliced from 21 exons.
UGAGAAGGCUGGAGGGCCAGAUGGUUUCAUCGCUGAGGGAAGCGCUGUACUCACCUGAUGGCCGAUCUCGGGGCACUCCCAGUGCCUGCUGCCUGUUGCUGUCCCUGAGCUCUGACUACGUCUACUUUGAGAACUCCUCCAGCAACCCAUACCUGAUCCGGAGGAUCGAGGAGCUCAACAAGACGGCCAAUGGGAACGUGGAGGCCAAAGUGGUGUGCUUCUACCGGAGGCGGGACAUCUCCAGCACCCUCAUCGCCCUGGCCGACAAGCACGCAACCCUGUCAGUCUGCUAUAAGGCCGGACCGGGGGCGGACAACGGCGAGGAAGGGGAAAUAGAAGAGGAAAUGGAGAAUCCGGAAAUGGUGGACCUGCCUGAGAAACUAAAGCACCAGCUGCGGCAUCGGGAGCUGUUCCUCUCCCGGCAGCUGGAGUCUCUGCCCGCCACGCACAUCAGGGGCAAGUGCAGCGUCACCCUGCUCAACGAGACCGAGUCGCUCAAGUCCUACCUGGAGCGGGAGGAUUUCUUCUUCUAUUCUCUAGUCUACGACCCACAGCAGAAGACCCUGCUGGCAGAUAAAGGAGAGAUUCGAGUAGGAAACCGGUACCAGGCAGACAUCACCGACUUGUUAAAAGAAGGCGAGGAGGAUGGCCGAGACCAGUCCAAGCUGGAGACCAAGGUGUGGGAGGCGCACAACCCACUCACAGACAAGCAGAUUGACCAGUUCCUGGUGGUGGCCCGCUCUGUGGGCACCUUCGCACGGGCCCUGGACUGCAGCAGCUCCGUCCGGCAGCCCAGCCUGCACAUGAGCGCCGCAGCUGCCUCCCGAGACAUCACCCUGUUCCACGCCAUGGAUACUCUCCACAAGAACAUCUACGACAUCUCCAAGGCCAUCUCGGCGCUGGUGCCGCAGGGCGGGCCCGUGCUCUGCAGGGACGAGAUGGAGGAGUGGUCUGCAUCAGAGGCCAACCUUUUCGAGGAAGCCCUGGAAAAAUAUGGGAAGGAUUUCACAGACAUUCAGCAAGAUUUUCUCCCGUGGAAGUCGCUGACCAGCAUCAUUGAGUACUACUACAUGUGGAAGACCACCGACAGAUACGUGCAGCAGAAACGCUUGAAAGCAGCUGAAGCUGAGAGCAAGUUAAAGCAAGUUUAUAUUCCCAACUAUAACAAGCCAAAUCCCAACCAAAUCAGCGUCAACAACGUCAAGGCCGGUGUGGUGAACGGCACGGGGGCGCCGGGCCAGAGCCCUGGGGCUGGCCGGGCCUGCGAGAGCUGUUACACCACACAGUCUUACCAGUGGUAUUCUUGGGGUCCCCCUAACAUGCAGUGUCGUCUCUGCGCAUCUUGUUGGACAUAUUGGAAGAAAUAUGGUGGCUUGAAAAUGCCAACCCGGUUAGAUGGAGAGAGGCCAGGACCAAACCGCAGUAACAUGAGUCCCCACGGCCUCCCAGCCCGGAGCAGCGGGAGCCCCAAGUUUGCCAUGAAGACCAGGCAGGCUUUCUAUCUGCACACGACGAAGCUGACGCGGAUCGCCCGGCGCCUGUGCCGUGAGAUCCUGCGCCCGUGGCACGCUGCGCGGCACCCCUACCUGCCCAUCAACAGCGCGGCCAUCAAGGCCGAGUGCACGGCGCGGCUGCCCGAAGCCUCCCAGAGCCCGCUGGUGCUGAAGCAGGCGGUACGCAAGCCGCUGGAAGCCGUGCUUCGGUAUCUUGAGACCCACCCCCGCCCCCCCAAGCCUGACCCCGUGAAAAGCGUGUCCAGCGUGCUCAGCAGCCUGACACCCGCCAAGGUGGCCCCCGUCAUCAACAACGGCUCCCCCACCAUCCUGGGCAAGCGCAGCUACGAGCAGCACAACGGGGUGGACGGCAACAUGAAGAAGCGCCUCUUGAUGCCCAGUAGGGGUAAGGCCUGGGGCCGCGGGCGGGCGCUGCGCCGGCCCCGCCCGUGAUGCCUGUGCUGUGCUGCUGUGUGUCCCCGCGGCGGGCGGCCCAGGGCCCAUGCUUGGGGCAGUCCACGUGAGCCAGGCCACAGCCCAGUUCCCUACAUUCCUCCUGACAUCACUGGUCCCUUGGUGAAGACCCCCCGAGCCCAGGCAUCUGGCCCUCGGCCCCGUGGCCCCGCGCCCUGUCAGUGGACUGUCCUGGCACGUGUGGCCCUGGCGCCCCUGCCUGCGCUGUCUGCCAUCGCGCUGUGACUGCCCGCAUGCUGCCAGCCUCAGCUCGUGGGGCCGCCCGUGCUGUGCCUGCAAUCCUUUCGUGCGCCUGCCAGGCGGGACAGUGGGGAGGGUGGUCGGGGGUGUUUGCGUGGGCCGUGGGCAACUGAGCUUGUACACACGGGCGCCUUCUGUCAGAGGACUGGCUCAGGUGCUCUGUGCCGGUUGCUUGGAGCAGGGGCUGCGGGACCCCAGGCCCCUUGGGGAAGAGUAGAUAGGACCAGGCCUAGCAUGAGGAGGCCAGGUGUGUGGGGCCUGGGUGUGCAAGUGCUGGGCCUGCCAGUGUGGAUGUGCCUGGAGCCCCUUCCCCAGGCGGCUUUCACUGACGGUGCUGGCCAGGGCAGCAGGGCCGGUUUGGCGACCUGGAGGUGGAUAUGGGCAGUGGCUGCCCAGCCCAGCCAGCCCUGUCCCCUUGGGGCAUUCUCUCGAGGCUGCUGGGUGUCCUGGCAGGCACGUCCUGUGGGGUUAGCACGCCGGCUGCAGCGCAGGGUGGGCCUGAGAUCGGGUGCCGGGCCCCCCAUCUCCACCUGUCUGGACACGCACCCCUGGCCUGUCCUUGCAGCUUCCUCCCGACAGCCCUUGGCGGUGUCUCUGUCUCGGCCCCAGCCCCCGCCCUCCCUUCCUGGGGCACCCUCCCAGCCAUCUGGUAUUGGGGCUGCCCCCAUUGCCUAGUCCUGGGCCCAGGGCCAGCCCACUCUGGGCUGGCUUUACUUGUCUGUUCCUAAUGGCGGGGCGUCCCAGGAACAGCCCCAUAAGAGCUGGUAGAAACAGGAGGGAGUCCUUGUCAGCAGGCAUCUUCGAGCUUUUUGUUUUGUUUUGUAAGAAGCGGUUAACCAGCAAGUUACAUAAAAGCUUAUUUGUUCCCACUGAAUUUUCCACACGUCACACGUGAGUCCCAGCCGUGCAGUGCUUGUGAGGGAGCAUCACCCCUUGCCGCCUGGCUGGGCGGGGCCCUGGGCUCAGAGGGGUCAGCCACAGAGGAAGCGCCUGUCCUGACGUGUAGCGGCCAGGACCUGGGCGCUGGAGAGGGGCCAGCUGGGUGAAGACGGCUCCCGGGGGCACUGGCGCACACGAGGUGGGGUCUCUGUCCAGCCUGGGUAGGCAUGAGCUGAGCUCGAGCGAGGGCCCUGCCUGCCCACAGCACGGGGCCCCAGCGCUCUAACCCGGCCAUUUGCCCGUGCAGCCUGUUGCGCUGUCCCCACCUGCGGGGCCUGCAGAUGGCUGCGUGUGGCUCACUAACCUAAAGCAUGUGUUUCUUCCCUCUGCUGUCCACCGCUCUGGUAGGCACUUACCUGGGUAAGUAGUUUUUGUGCUACUGGCCAGCCCUGGGCGCUGGGCCUUGGCUUGUGGCAGGUGCCCUGAGGUAUGGCUGUUCCUGCUUGGGAGCGCCGCAGAUCAGGCACCUGGGCCCCCACCUGACCCUGCCCGGCAGAGCUAAGCAAACUGGCAGGGAAAGGCUGACCCAGGGCUCCAGGGCCCCAGUUGGCUCCCAGGGGAGUGCCCCAAGUUAGGAGGCAACUGCAGGUGGGGAGGAGCUGGACAGGCCACUUCUGUUCCUUAAGGGAUGGGCCUCAGCUAAGCAGCGUUUCUGGAGCUGGCAGGUUGCUCCGAUGCCCCUGGGCCCUGGCACCUGACUGAGUAUGACGUCCUGUCCUCUCUGAGCUGGUCCUGCUGGGAGCCGAGCCAUCCUGGGACCAGCUCCCACAUGCACACGCCCACACCUACAGGCAGGGCAGUGGGGAAGGGCAGUGAGUGGGGGAGGGCAGCAGCGGUCCUGGGCCCAGCUGGGGGUGACCAGGAGCAUGGACCCCGCUUCUUGGCCCAACUCCCGCAGUGCCCCUUGGGCUCCUCACCCUGCACUGUGGGAAGUCAGAGGCCUCUGGCACCCCAUCCCCAAGCACAUGCCAGGGUGGCUGGGGCCCAGCCAGGGCAGUGGGUGGUGACCUGUUUCUGGCCGGGGCUGGCAGCUCUCUCAGAGCCUUAGGAAGAAGCCCGGCCUCCUGGUGGGGCAGUGCCGGCCACAGCAUGGCUGCCCUGCAGAGGGGCUUGUGCCGCUGCUGGACUGACAGCCUUGCGAGGCUUUGCUUGUCUCGGCAUGGCAGGCAAGUGGGUGGACAGCCCCGGCCCCUGUGCAGGGAGGUGACUGUCGGGUCCAAGGCUCCUGGCCGCCUGCCUGGAGCCCAAGCCAAUGUGUCUCUUGCUGGCCAGAGAGCUGUGGGGCCACCAGGCGGCCCAGGACCCGGGGAGGUCUGGCAAACCACGGACAGACCAGGCACAUGGGACCAAGCCGGAACCUCCUGCUCAACGGGAAGUCUUACCCCACCAAAGUGCGCCUGAUCCGGGGGGGCUCCCUGCCCCCAGUCAAGCGGCGGCGGAUGAACUGGAUCGACGCCCCGGAUGACGUGUUCUACAUGGCCACAGAGGAGACCAGGAAGAUCCGCAAGCUGCUCUCAUCCUCGGAAACCAAGCGUGCUGCCCGCCGGCCCUACAAGCCCAUCGCCCUGCGCCAGAGCCAGGCCCUGCCGCUGCGGCCACCGCCACCUGCGCCCGUCAACGACGAGCCCAUCGUCAUCGAGGACUAGGGGCCGCCCCCACCUGCGGCCGCCCCCCGCCCCUCGCCCGCCCACACGGCCCCUUCCCAGCCAGCCCGCCGCCCGCCCCUCAGUUUGGUAGUGCCCCACCUCCCGCCCUCACCUGCAGAGAAACGCGCUCCUUGGCGGACCCUGGGGGAGGAGAGGAAGAAGCGCGGCUAACUUAUUCCGAGAAUGCCGAGGAGUUGUCGUUUUUAGCUUUGUGUUUACUUUUUGGCUGGAGCGGAGAUGAGGGGCCACCCCGUGCCCCUGUGCUGCGGGGCCUUUUGCCCGGAGGCCGGGCCCUAAGGUUUUGUUGUGUUCUGUUGAAGGUGCCAUUUUAAAUUUUAUUUUUAUUACUUUUUUUGUAGAUGAACUUGAGCUCUGUAACUUACACCUGGAAUGUUAGGAUCGUGCGGCCGCGGCCGGCCGAGCUGCCUGGCGGGGUUGGCCCUUGUCUUUUCAAGUAAUUUUCAUAUUAAACAAAAACAAAGAAAAAAAAUCUUAUAAAAAGGAAAAAAACCAA